RNAcentral lists this unclassified non-coding RNA (351 nucleotides) under soil metagenome. RNAcentral describes it as "partial contains 5.8S ribosomal RNA, internal transcribed spacer 2, and large subunit ribosomal RNA". The stretch from base 1 to 120 matches the Rfam family "5.8S ribosomal RNA", at positions 35 to 154 of the family's 154-position model. The record is from RNAcentral.
GAUGAAGAACGUAGCGAAAUGCGAAAAGUAAUGUGAAUUGCAGAAUUCAGUGAAUCAUCGAAUCUUUGAACGCACAUUGCGCCCGCUGGUACUCCGGCGGGCACGCCUGUCCGAGCGUCAUUUCAACCCUCAAGCCCUCCUUCGGGAUGGGCCUGGUGUUGGGGCUCGGCCGCCAUCUCCGGCGGCCGUCCCCUAAAUACAGUGGCGGUCACGUCGCGACUCCUUUGCGUAGUAGAAACACCUCGCUCCGGAUAGCAACGCGGUCCACGCCGUAAAAUCCCCAAUUUUCAAUGGUUGACCUCGGAUCAGGUGGGAAUACCCGCUGAACUUAAGCAUAUCAAUAAGCGGAGA